AUGUAUCUAUGAGAUGGUUACAUGUGCGAUUAUUAUUAAACUGCAACAUGGAGUUCGCGAGGUUAACUUGCUCAAUAAUUUAAUUUAGAGUAUAUUCCAGAUUUUCUAUUCAAGAAGUUCAUCUGACAAAGUUUGGUUUACAUCACAGUUGGUUUAGCAAAAUGAUUUAUUUGAAUGCCUCCACUUAAUAGCUAAACAAUUGCUUAUGAGAAUAAAGUUUUGUAUAUCAGUUUGAUAUACGUUAUAUACGAAAGUAUAUCAUUUUCUCCCCUCACAAGUGGUUCAUGGUCAGGAACCAAAUAAUUCCAUCUUAUUAUUAUUGAUGUACGGCGUAUAUUUUGAUUAACACCGUAACGCACAAAGAUG
Molecule: long non-coding RNA, 366 nt
Filed under: Nicotiana benthamiana
Lineage: Eukaryota; Viridiplantae; Streptophyta; Magnoliopsida; Solanales; Solanaceae
Description: long non-coding RNA (NBEN_LNC020448)
Source: RNAcentral